RNAcentral lists this ribosomal RNA (696 nucleotides) under uncultured bacterium. Its description in RNAcentral is "bacterial SSU rRNA". It matches the Rfam family "Bacterial small subunit ribosomal RNA", at positions 111 to 823 of the family's 1533-position model. The record is from RNAcentral.
UAACGCGUGAGGGACCUGCCUCAAAGAGGGGGACAACNGUUGGAAACGACUGCUAAUACCGCAUAAGCCCACAGCUCGGCAUCGAGCAGAGGGAAAAGGAGCAAUCCGCUUUGAGAUGGCCUCGCGUCCGAUUAGCUAGUUGGUGAGGUAACGGCCCACCAAGGCAACGAUCGGUAGCCGGACUGAGAGGUUGAACGGCCACAUUGGGACUGAGACACGGCCCAGACUCCUACGGGAGGCAGCAGUGGGGAAUAUUGCACAAUGGGGGAAACCCUGAUGCAGCGACGCCGCGUGGAGGAAGAAGGUCUUCGGAUUGUAAACUCCUGUUGUUGAGGAAGAUAAUGACGGUACUCAACAAGGAAGUGACGGCUAACUACGUGCCAGCAGCCGCGGUAAAACGUAGGUCACAAGCGUUGUCCGGAAUUACUGGGUGUAAAGGGAGCGCAGGCGGGAAGACAAGUUGGAAGUGAAAUCUAUGGGCUCAACCCAUAAACUGCUUUCAAAACUGUUUUUCUUGAGUAGUGCAGAGGUAGGCGGAAUUCCCGGUGUAGCGGUGGAAUGCGUAGAUAUCGGGAGGAACACCAGUGGCGAAGGCGGCCUACUGGGCACCAACUGACGCUGAGGCUCGAAAGUGUGGGUAGCAAACAGGAUUAGAUACCCUGGUAGUCCACACCGUAAACGAUGAUUACUAGGUGU